RNAcentral lists this ribosomal RNA (460 nucleotides) under uncultured bacterium. RNAcentral's name for it is "partial 16S ribosomal RNA". It matches the Rfam family "Bacterial small subunit ribosomal RNA", at positions 28 to 507 of the family's 1533-position model. The record is from RNAcentral.
GACGAACGCUGGCGGCGUGCUUAACACAUGCAAGUCGAGCGGUAAGGCCUCUUCGGGGGUACACGAGCGGCGAACGGGUGAGUAACACGUGGGUGACCUGCCCUCAGCUCUGGGAUAAGCCUGGGAAACUGGGUCUAAUACCGGAUAUGACCUUUCCUCGCAUGGGGUUUGGUGGAAAGUUUUUUCGGCUGGGGAUGGGCCCGCGGCCUAUCAGCUUGUUGGUGGGGUGAUGGCCUACCAAGGCGACGACGGGUAGCCGGCCUGAGAGGGCGACCGGCCACACUGGGACUGAGACACGGCCCAGACUCCUACGGGAGGCAGCAGUGGGGAAUAUUGCGCAAUGGGCGGAAGCCUGACGCAGCGACGCCGCGUGGGGGAUGACGGCCUUCGGGUUGUAAACCUCUUUCGACCCCGACGAACUUGGACGGUAGGGGUAGAAGAAGCACCGGCCAACUACGUG